AGGGAUUGCCCUAGUAACGGCGAGUGAAGCGGCAACAGCUCAAAUUUGAAAUCUGGCCCUCGGGUCCGAGUUGUAAUUUGUAGAGGAUGAUUUUGGUUAGGUACCUUCCGAGUUCCUUGGAACAGGACGCCUUAGAGGGUGAGAGCCCCGUACGGUUGGAUGCCGAGCCUCUGUAAAUCUCCUUCGACGAGUCGAGUAGUUUGGGAAUGCUGCUCUAAAUGGGAGGUAAAUUUCUUCUAAAGCUAAAUACCGGCCAGAGACCGAUAGCGCACAAGUAGAGUGAUCGAAAGAUGAAAAGCACUUUGAAAAGAGGGUUAAAUAGUACGUGAAAUUGUUGAAAGGGAAGGGCUUGUGACCAGACCUUUGCCUUGCGGAUCAUCCGGUGUUCUCACCGGUGCACUCCGCUUGGUUGAGGCCAGCAUCAGUUUCGGCGGCGGGAUAAAGACUUCAGGAACGUGACUCCCCCGGGAGUGUUAUAGCCUGCUGUGUAAUACCGCCGCUGGGACUGAGGACCGCGCUUCGGCUAGGAUGCUGGCAUAAUGGUCAUCAGCCACCCGUCUUGAAACACGGACCAAGGAGUCGAACAUUUAUGCGAGUUUUUGGGUGUUAAACCCUCAAGCGUAAUGAAAGUGAACGGAGGUGAGAGCCCUUACGGGUGCAUCAUCGACCGAUCCUGAUGUCUUCGGAUGGAUUUGAGUAAGAGCAUAACUGUUCGGACCCGAAAGAUGGUGAACUAUGCGUGGAUAGGGUGAAGCCAGAGGAAACUCUGGUGGAGGCUCGCAGCGGUUCUGACGUGCAAAUCGAUCGUCAAAUCUGCGCAUGGGGGCGAAAGACUAAUCG
This 840-nucleotide ribosomal RNA is filed under the name Microdochium seminicola. RNAcentral describes it as "eukaryotic LSU rRNA". It matches the Rfam family "Eukaryotic large subunit ribosomal RNA", at positions 70 to 937 of the family's 3401-position model. Lineage: Eukaryota; Fungi; Ascomycota; Sordariomycetes; Xylariales; Microdochiaceae. The record is from RNAcentral.